GCCCCAGGGGCUGGGUCCAGCAGAGGGUCCCCCCUGGGUUGGGCACAGUUCCCAGCUCACGAUGGAGGCAGCAGCAGGGUCUGACCCAGGAGGAAGAUCAUGCAGAGACCGAGCUAGAGCAGCCUCACGUCUCUGAGCGAGAACCGGACCCUUCUGCACCCAUCAGCUACCGCCCCCCACUCCCGAGGGCCCAGAACCACGACUCGGCCAGGAUCCAGUUCUCUCUGCUGCCCCUUAACCAGAGAAACCUGCAAAGCCAACCACGUGUGGAGCCUGUGUCACAGGGAAACAGGUCCCUCAGCAGGAAGUGAAUCGCAUUCACUGCCGUGUUAAGUCUGCUGCCUGCAGUCCGUUCUCUCCAUUGUGUCCCUUACAAAAGCCCCCAGUUGCUGGGGCUCCAGCGCCCUGGCUGCACAAGGGAGAGGUUGAUAUCGAGGGAGCGACAUACCUGCUGUUUCCCAACAAGACAGUCUCCUAGUUCAGAGAUCCCCAACUCUGCCCAGAAACCCUGACCGAGAGGAUAGACUUUCCCUCCCAAAAGAGCUGGGGGGACCCCACAUCUGACGGGAAAGGCCACCCCCACAUUUCAGGGGGCACAGCGUAGAGCAAAGAUACUACUGUGGUGGGUGACACAGACAAAGAAAUGUAGCUACAGAGUGGAGAAGUCCAGCUCAAAGAACAGAAUUAUUCAGGCUGAAUCAUUCAGGAUUUGGGUUUCUACUUCUAAAUUUGAGACAGCAAAUGUAAGCAAAAUUAAUGUUCAAAACGCUGUUUUUAGUACUGAAAGAGACUUUAAUGUACAAUCAUGCACGAUUAAGAUUCUAUAUGCAUCCGAAGAAGUGGGCUGUAGUCCACGAAAGCUUAUGCUCUAAUAAAUUUGUUAGUCUCUAAGGUGCCACAAGUACUCCUGUUCUUCUUUUUAAGAAAAUAUACAUGAUCUUUAAUAGCAACCUGGCUGAAGUACAUAUUGUGACAGCACUAGAUUUUAUAUGAACUUGCAAUAUGUCAAGAAUUUCUAAUUUCUUUGUCUUCUGCUUUUCUGAUUUGAAAAACCAUUUCAAUCUACUUCAGAAGUUGUUGUUGCAUCCAUACUAGAGACUCAGUCUUUCACACACAAAGAAAGCAACUGUACUAUUUGUAUAGAUUCUUCAUAUUAUAUUAUGAAAAAUAUUGUCUUAUAAGCUCACAAACUUUUUUUUUUGGUAAGUCAUUAGUAAUUGAUAUUUAUGAGCUGCUUCUCUUCUCAUUUCCACUGGUAUAAAUCCUGAGUUGCUCCAUCAAAACCAAUGGAGCAGAUCCUCAACUGAUGUAAAUCAGUGGAACUCUGGUUUUUGGUGUUUUUGUUUUGUUUUUGGUUUGAGAUAUGCUAAUGUACAGUAGCUGAGGAUCUGGCCAAGUGGCAUUAUAACAAUGUAAUGCUAUUGAGAGAGGAGAAUCAAGCCCUUGAAUACAGUCAGCAUUGACACUUAAAAACUCUUCCCCCUUUUUUUAAGCUAUCAAGUACUAUGAGGUUGCAUAUAAUUGCAAGGCCUGCUUAGCACAAGUAUACUUGGAGAAUAUUGUAGGAGAUAUAUAAAAGGAUCAAGCCUUCAUUAAGAUUAGGUGCCUAAAGAUGAAGUUAGACAUUUUGAAAAUCCCACCAGGUCAAGGGUAUGAAUCCAGCUGAGGUUGCAGGCCAGUAAAUAGUCCCGUUCAGUUCCAUAAGAAUAUUCAGGUGAACAAGGGUUUGCAGCAUCAGGCCCUAGGUUCAGUCCCACGUUCUUGUUAAACUGGCACUCCCAGCAAAGAGAGAGAAGUGUGAAUCAAGAAGAACAAGAUAUCUCAUGGCUGGGAGGCUCCACUGCACAGUUGAGGCACAUUGGUUAGGGCAACAUGCACUGCCGUUGCUCCCCCUGUCUGUUUGUUAGAUCCACCUUUUGUCUAAUAUGUAGACUGUAAGAUCUUUGGGGUAGGGACUGUAUGUUAUAGAUGUGUACAUUGCUUAGCACAAUUGUCUGGUGUAAGUGCUACUGUAAUACAAAUAAAUAACAUUUACAACAUUACUUCA
Chrysemys picta bellii (western painted turtle) is the source of this 2047-nucleotide long non-coding RNA. The record is from Ensembl. Lineage: Eukaryota; Metazoa; Chordata; Testudines; Emydidae.